This 702-nucleotide ribosomal RNA is filed under the name Salinicoccus roseus. RNAcentral's name for it is "bacterial SSU rRNA". It matches the Rfam family "Bacterial small subunit ribosomal RNA", at positions 58 to 737 of the family's 1533-position model. Lineage: Bacteria; Bacillati; Bacillota; Bacilli; Caryophanales; Staphylococcaceae. The record is from RNAcentral.
CAAAGGUCGAACGCGCGGAUCAGGAGCUUGCUCCUGUGACGCGAGUGGCGGACGGGUGAGUAACACGUAGGCAACCUGCCCAUCAGACUGGGAUAACCACGGGAAACCGUGGCUAAUACCGGAUAACCCUUUUCCACACAGGUGGGAAAGUUGAAAGGCGGUCUUUUGGCUGUCACUGAUGGAUGGGCCUGCGGCGCAUUAGCUGGUUGGUGGGGUAACGGCCCACCAAGGCGACGAUGCGUAGCCGACCUGAGAGGGUGAUCGGCCACACUGGGACUGAGACACGGCCCAGACUCCUACGGGAGGCAGCAGUAGGGAAUCUUCCGCAAUGGACGAAAGUCUGACGGAGCAACGCCGCGUGAGUGAAGAAGGGUUUCGGCUCGUAAAACUCUGUUGUCAGGGAAGAACGCCGACGGGAGUAACUGCCCGUCGGGUGACGGUACCUGACCAGAAAGCCACGGCUAACUACGUGCCAGCAGCCGCGGUAAUACGUAGGUGGCAAGCGUUAUCCGGAAUUAUUGGGCGUAAAGCGCGCGUAGGCGGUUCGUUAAGUCUGAUGUGAAAGCCCCCGGCUCAACCGGGGAGGGUCAUUGGAAACUGGCGGACUUGAGUGCAGAAGAGGAGAGUGGAAUUCCAUGUGUAGCGGUGAAAUGCGCAGAGAUAUGGAGGAACACCAGUGGCGAAGGCGGCUCUCUGGUCUGC